This 497-nucleotide ribosomal RNA is filed under the name uncultured bacterium. Its description in RNAcentral is "partial 16S ribosomal RNA". It matches the Rfam family "Bacterial small subunit ribosomal RNA", at positions 28 to 507 of the family's 1533-position model. The record is from RNAcentral.
GAUGAACGCUGGCGGCGUGCCUAAUACAUGCAAGUCGAGCGAACAGACGAGGAGCUUGCUCCUUCGACGUUAGCGGCGGACGGGUGAGUAACACGUAGGUAACCUACCUAUAAGACUGGGAUAACUUCGGGAAACCGGAGCUAAUACCGGAUAAUAUUUCGAACCGCAUGGUUCGAUAGUGAAAGAUGGCUUUGCUAUCACUUAUAGAUGGACCUGCGCCGUAUUAGCUAGUUGGUAAGGUAACGGCUUACCAAGGCAACGAUACGUAGCCGAACUGAGAGGGUGAUCGGCCACACUGGAACUGAGACACGGUCCAGACUCCUACGGGAGGCAGCAGUAGGGAAUCUUCCGCAAUGGGCGAAAGCCUGACGGAGCAACGCCGCGUGAGUGAUGAAGGUCUUCGGAUCGUAAAACUCUGUUAUUAGGGAAGAACAAACGUGUAAGUAACUGUGCACGUCUUGACGGUACCUAAUCAGAAAGCCACGGCUAACUACGUG